This 197-nucleotide unclassified non-coding RNA is filed under the name uncultured Clathrus. RNAcentral describes it as "sequence contains ITS2". The record is from RNAcentral. Lineage: Eukaryota; Fungi; Basidiomycota; Agaricomycetes; Phallales; Clathraceae.
AGUACCUCGGACCCGUGUCUUUUUUCUAAGGACGCGCGGUUUCGGAUUUGGACGCUUGCCGCGAAUCUCGCGGCUCGUCUCUAAACGCAUUAGCGAAACGCGCCAUCGGUCUAGCUCUCAGACGUGAUAAAACAAGCGUCGACGGAGCGCGACCGUGCGUCGCUCACGAACCGUCCGCGAGGACAAUCCACACCCAA